Molecule: long non-coding RNA, 2610 nt
Organism: Felis catus (domestic cat)
Lineage: Eukaryota; Metazoa; Chordata; Mammalia; Carnivora; Felidae
Exons: 2
Source: RefSeq, a predicted model, not a curated record
CCUGCUUCGGAUUCUGUGUCUCCCUCUCUCUCUGCCCCUCCCCUACUCAUGCUCUGUCUCUGUCUCUCAAAAAUGAAUAGAUGUUAAAAAAAAAAAAUUAAAAAAAAAAGCUUUCUGUCAGUCUCACUUAUGAAUAUAGUUGCCAAAGUGAAAUAUUGGUAAAGAGAGACUAUUAAAACAGUAUACCAUGGCAGGUGAGAUUUAUUCUAGGAACGUGAGGAUAUUUCAGUUCUUCUUAAUGUACUUUUUCAUAUUUAUUAGUCAAAUGAGGAAAAUCAGAGUUGUCUUAACGGGUGCCAGAAAGACAUUUGAUAAAACUUAAAACCCACUCCUGGUUGUGAUCAUAACCAUGGCAGAACACAAGUAAAAGAAUAUUUCACACACACACAUAUGUAUGUGUGUCCAUAUAUAUUUAUAUAUUGUUUAUAUUAAGCAUGAAGGCUCUAAAGACAAAGCAUUUUUGUCUGACUUCCUCUUGAGCGAUUUGAUGGAUUAAUCACCUCCACUCCCCUCCGUAAAACUGAUGGCCGCCGCCGCUGAGCCCACGUGCCACAGUCGGCCACUUCCUCGAGUGCCAGUUUGCGCCUCCCUCCACCCCACUUGGAUUCUCCGAAAGUUAGGUGUGUGUUUCUUCACAAGUCUGUUUAUGCCACUGUGGGUAGCGUUGUAAAAUAAUAUACGCUAACUAAACAUCAUGAAAACUAUUGCACUAUGAGGAACAAAAAAAAGAAUUCCCAGGAAAUCCAAGGUGAUGCUUUCCCAGGAAUUCUUUUUUUUGUCUCUCCUAGCGCAACAGUUAUCACAAUUUUUAGUUAACGUAUAUAUAUAACAUAUAUAACCAAAGGUGAGCCACUGAAAAACCCUGUAGGGCACCUGGGUGGCUCAGUCAGUUAAGCGUCUGACCUCAGCUCAGGUCAUGAUCUCACGGUUCCUUGGUUUGAGCCAGUUUGUGCCGACAGCUGAGAGCCUGGAGACAACUUUGGAUUCUGUGCCUUCCUCUCUCUGCGCCCUCCCCCUGCUCUUGCUUGCUCUCUCUCUCAAAAAUAAACAUCAAAAAAAAACCCACAAAAAAACAAACCACACCUGCUGUCAAAGUAGGUGUGAACAGGACAACUAGGAUUUGGGGGGAUCCAGUAAAAAUUCCACACUUGGAUUGCUUCGCUCAAGUCUUAAGUUCUCUUUCUUCUUUAAAGAGACAGGGACUCAAGAAGACAGCUGUAGAUUUCCCAUCGGAGGGUCCAUACUCCCAAGAACAGGCGCUCAUCUUUACCGACCAGCAUUUGCACCAGAUAUCAUAACUGAGGGAAGUUACUGCAGAUGUGACUGUCCUCUUCAUAAAAGAAGCGACUGGGAAAAGAUUAGAAACGCAGGUACUUCUUUGUUUCUGCAUGUUUGUUACGCGUUUGCAGUUGUGCCCACUUUCUACUUACGCGUAGGUGCUCGUCCUGUUGCAAAAUCGGAGGGCGUGCUGGCCGGUCCUGCGGGAAGAACAGCAGGCGGGUUUCCUCUUGAGGUUUAUUCUUGUCAGAACAUGACGCACUACUGAUUUAUUGCAACAAAAUGACAAUACCAUAAAUAAAUGUUCAGCGCAGUGGUCAGUUAGGAGCUAAGUGCACCAAAAGGUAAUAGUUUUAGUUAGUAAGUUACUAUAAAAUGCCAUUUUAAGAUGACUCUCUUCACAAAGACACAGAUCAUGCCUACAUAAAAAUACAUAUAGGACCUCUGUGAAGAAAACUCUUUACAUGCAAUGUUUUUAAAAGCUUACUUAUUUUGAGAGAGAGAAUCCCAAGCAGGCUCUGCGUGGUCAGCACAGAGUGCAACACAGGGCUCGAACUCACAAACUUUUGAGAUCGUGACUUGAGCUGAAGUCAAGAGUCGGAUGCUUAACUGACGGAGGGAGGCACUCUUUUUUUGCAUGAGGAGGCAUUGUUCACCAAAGUCUCCCCCAGAGUAUGAAUUUAAUAAAAUCCAAAAUAGUGUCUGCAUAUAUUUGCUUCUGUAUAUGUUUGGGUUUUAAGCUACAUUUUGAAAGAAUAAAUAUGAGAAUAGCUAGGAAGUUUCUUAGAAAAACACUGGGAGGGACUUGCAUGCCCCGAUACUAAAGAGUACAGCAGGACCCUAGUGAUUAAAACUGCAUGACUGGUGCAAAAAUUCAUGUAGGUCAAUGAAAGAGUCGGGAGUUCAGAAUGACUCCAAAUGUAAGAAGAAAUGAGGGACUUUUCAAUUCAGUGGCAUUGGCACAACUGGUUCCCUAUGUGGGAAUGGCAGCGCGGCAUACCAAGUAAGUGCAAAGACGAGACGUUGCCUGUGUUAAAAUCUGAACUUGCCGGUACUUAGUGCCUGGGACCUUGCAUAAAUCACGUAACCACUCUGUGCCUCACUUUCUUCAUCUAUUUUCAUACCUGUGGUGCUACUGCAAGGGGUAAGUAGGUUUAUAUUUGUAGAGGGCUCCAAGGGGGAUCGGUCGACAGAAUUACCUACUCUUUAAGUAGCAGCUGUUGUUCUAUCAUUUAGGAGAGAAAAAGCCUAAUCCCUAUCUUCUCCCCAAUAUACACCACGCUAAAUUCGAGCGGAUUAAAGAAAUUAAAAAAACAAAACAAAACAAAAAAA